RNAcentral lists this signal recognition particle RNA (97 nucleotides) under Actinomycetota bacterium. Its description in RNAcentral is "Actinobacteria bacterium signal recognition particle sRNA small type". It matches the Rfam family "Bacterial small signal recognition particle RNA". From Rfam's summary of the family: The signal recognition particle (SRP) is a universally conserved ribonucleoprotein involved in the co-translational targeting of proteins to membranes. Archaeal SRP consists of a 7S RNA and homologues of the eukaryotic SRP19 and SRP54 proteins. In most bacteria, the SRP consists of a 4.5S RNA and the Ffh protein (a homologue of the eukaryotic SRP54 protein). Lineage: Bacteria; Bacillati; Actinomycetota. The record is from RNAcentral.
CUGGACUCCCCGUGCGGCGUCACCUCGGCUAACUCCCCCAGGAUCGAAAGAUAGCAAGGGUAACUGGGCUCUGACGGGUGUGCGGGGAGUCUUUUUA